CCUACGGGGGGCAGCAGUGAGGAAUAUUGGUCAAUGGACGAGAGUCUGAACCAGCCAAGUAGCGUGAAGGAUGACUGCCCUAUGGGUUGUAAACUUCUUUUAUAUGGGAAUGAAAUGUUCCACGUGUGGGAUUUUGUAUGUACCAUAUGAAUAAGGAUCGGCUAACUCCGUGCCAGCAGCCGCGGUAAUACGGAGGAUCCGAGCGUUAUCCGGAUUUAUUGGGUUUAAAGGGAGCGUAGGUGGAUUGUUAAGUCAGUUGUGAAAGUUUGCGGCUCAACCGUAAAAUUGCAGUUGAAACUGGCAGUCUUGAGUACAGUAGAGGUGGGCGGAAUUCGUGGUGUAGCGGUGAAAUGCUUAGAUAUCACGAAGAACUCCGAUUGCGAAGGCAGUUCACUGGACUGCAACUGACACUGAGGCUCGAAAGUGUGGGUAUCAAACAGGAUUAGAUACCCCUGUAGUC
This 460-nucleotide ribosomal RNA is filed under the name uncultured bacterium. RNAcentral's name for it is "partial 16S ribosomal RNA". It matches the Rfam family "Bacterial small subunit ribosomal RNA", at positions 338 to 795 of the family's 1533-position model. The record is from RNAcentral.